This is a long non-coding RNA of Zingiber officinale, 881 nucleotides long. RefSeq lists it as uncharacterized. The record is from RefSeq and is a predicted model, not a curated record. The transcript is spliced from 8 exons. Lineage: Eukaryota; Viridiplantae; Streptophyta; Magnoliopsida; Zingiberales; Zingiberaceae.
UCCCCUUCUUGAAUCUCUUCCCCUUCUUAAUCGUCUGAUUGCUAAAGGUUGAGGAUGGGGUUUGGGGUUAACCUCUCUAUAAAGCGCCGAAGCCUUUUCUUUUCCCCCCGACUUUCUCCUCUGUUCUUCCUCUGCUUCUCGCGACUUCGGACUUCACGCGACCGAGACCGGCGAUUUCUUCUUCUCUCGGUGGCGCCGGCGAAGAGCGGACCUUGGAGCGUUGAGAGGAAGAGAGGUGGUUCUUUCUGGGAAGCAGAGACUGGUAUUUUGGUCCCGGCCACCACAGCUCUGUUGGAUCGAUCUCUUCUUCGUAUCAGUGAUCGUCUCCGGUGAUUGAAGGGUGCAGAGAGGAUGCGAUGUGCUUAUUUUAGAUACUGGAUUGGGAAGUGCAGAGAAUCAAGCAAGGGUCAAGGAGUUGCUUCAUGUGGAGGAAUCAAAACUAGAGGAGGAUGAGGGAAAUACCACUCCAGCAGUGAGAUGGGUUCGAGAUGAUAAAUAUGAUUGCAUCCGAUUAAAGCAUUGCAAGUAAUUUGAUGAGUGUUGUUGCAUCAUUCUAUAAGGCAAUUUUAGCAGUUACAACAGGGAUAUCUGUGCCCUUCAACAACUUGGCUAUUAUAUACAAGCAACAGCUUCAAGAUAUCAAACUCUACACCUUCUAUAUGGAGCUAGAUUUGCAAAAGCCAUAUCCAACUCGAGGAAGUGACUUAUUGACAUGGGAGAGAACUUAUUGGUAACCAAGGACUUUGUGAAGAUAGCAAAUUUUGGCCUUGCUCGUGAAGUUCAUUCGAAGCCACCAUUCACAGAAUAGGUUUCAACACGCUGUUUACAAAUCUCAAGUACUCCAGAGUUGAAAUUGAUGAAAUGCAGUUCGAGUGGGCUGA